Small nucleolar RNA from Musa acuminata AAA Group (dessert banana), 87 nucleotides. RefSeq annotates it as small nucleolar RNA R16. The transcript has a single exon. The record is from RefSeq and is a predicted model, not a curated record. Lineage: Eukaryota; Viridiplantae; Streptophyta; Magnoliopsida; Zingiberales; Musaceae.
AGUGGCAAAUGAUGUGAAUUUAAAAUCUUAUCCUACACACUGAAUCAUGGUGUGGACCAUUAACUCCGCUUAUUAUCUGAUGCCCUC